AACGAACGCUGGCGGCAUGCCUAACACAUGCAAGUCGAACGAGACCUUCGAGUCUAGUGGCGCACGGGUGCGUAACGCGUGGGAACCUGCCCUUAGGUUCGGAAUAACUCCCCGAAAGGGGUGCUAAUAACGGAUAAUGUCUUCGGACCAAAGAUUUAUCGCCUUUGGAUGGGCCUGCGUUGGAUUAGCUAGUUGGUAGGGUAAAAGCCUACCAAGGCGACGCUCCAUAGCUGGUCUGAGAGGAUGAUCAGCCACACUGGGACUGAGACACGGCCCAGACUCCUACGGGAGGCAGCAGUGGGGAAUAUUGGACAAUGGGCGAAAGCCUGAUCCAGCAAUGCCGCGGGAGUGAUGAAGGCCUUAGGGUUGUAAAGCUCUUUUACCCGGGAUGAUAAUGACAGUACCGGGAGAAUAAGCUCCGGCUAACUCCGUG
Molecule: ribosomal RNA, 433 nt
Filed under: uncultured bacterium
Lineage: Bacteria
Description: partial 16S ribosomal RNA
Rfam family: Bacterial small subunit ribosomal RNA
Source: RNAcentral